GUGAGGUGUCAGCUCCUGCUGCCCUCCCCCAUCUCCGAGGACCCCAGCCCAGGACAGCCCAGGACGGCCCAGCCCAGGACAGCCCAGGACGGCCCAGCCCAGGACAGUCCAGGCCCCGAUGCCUGGGGUUUGCGGGGCCGGAGACAAUCCCUGAGAAAGGCUGAUGGAAACCUGGAGCAGGGAGACCCCCGUCCUUCACCCUCACCUCCAGGAGUGUUCCAGGAAUCGGCAAGCAAGAACGGAGCCGAGUGGAACCGUGCUUCGGGGCCCCUUUGACCCUGACCUGGAGCCAGACUUUUCCGUGUUGAGAGCCUCCGUUCCUGGGGUAAGUGGGCAGACUCAGGCCUCAGUCCAUCCUGAGCUCUCACCUCAGGGCCUGACCCCAGUCCCCUCAUGCCCUCUCUGGCCUGCCUGCCUCAUCCCACAACCCCUCACCCCAGCCCCCCGAUUCACUCGGCACAUGCUUAUGUGACCCCUGUGCAGGUCGCUCGUUUCCCGCCCAAUUGAAAGGCUGUCUGACUUUCCCUGCUUCCUCCCCAUCAGCAGUCUUGCGGCAGGGCCUGUGGGACGGCCCUGAGGGGUGACCUCAGGUGGGAUGGGGGUGGCCCAGAGCGUGGCCCAGGACAGGGCAGAGCCAGGCCAGGGUGGCAGGUGAGAGACACAGGGCAGAGGGUUCUCCGUGUCGGACAUGUGAGUUUCAGGAAGCGGUAGUGGCUGUGAGUCAGUGCAGGUUUGUGCCUGCUCCCAGCUUAAGAACUGGGGUCCUGGCCUGGACCGUGGCCGUAUCACUCUAUUUCAACCUCCCGGCCCCCCAGAACCCAGCUCAACUCAGAUUUGACCUUCUCUUCAAACCAGGCAUUCUGGGGCCUUGCCCCUAUCUCGGGCAUCCAGUAACCCAGGUCUUCCCCACCUCUCUCUUCCUCUGUCCCAGGCUCCGGGCUGGCAGCUGGCCAAGGAGGAGAGGAGACUCCAAUGGAGGGUACAGUCUUUUCCCAGGGGUUGGGAGGAACAGCUCUGCUUCUCUUGGGAGUUGGAAAAUCUGCCACAGAAAUAAAGUUGGCAGUAGGAGUAGUA
Ornithorhynchus anatinus (platypus) is the source of this 1074-nucleotide long non-coding RNA. RefSeq lists it as uncharacterized. Lineage: Eukaryota; Metazoa; Chordata; Mammalia; Monotremata; Ornithorhynchidae. The transcript has 2 exons. The record is from RefSeq and is a predicted model, not a curated record.